GCCCUUGUAGUAUAACUCAAUACCCUGGUCUUGUAAACCAGACAUGGAGAACCCCUCCUCCCAAGGACA
RNAcentral lists this transfer RNA (69 nucleotides) under Hapalemur griseus griseus. RNAcentral describes it as "tRNA-Thr". Lineage: Eukaryota; Metazoa; Chordata; Mammalia; Primates; Lemuridae. The record is from RNAcentral.